UGGGGAAUUUUGCGCAAUGGGCGAAAGCCUGACGCAGCAACGCCGCGUGGGUGAUGAAGGUCUUCGGAUCGUAAAACCCUGUCGUCAGGGACGAAGGUUGUGUUCCUAAUACGGAUGCAACUUGACGGUACCUGGAGAGGAAGCCCCGGCUAACUCUGUGCCAGCAGCCGCGGUAAUACAGAGGGGGCAAGCGUUAUUCGGAAUUAUUGGGCGUAAAGGGCGCGUAGGCGGUGAUUUAAGUGAGAUGUGCAAUCCCCGGGCUUAACCUGGGAACUGCAUCUCAGACUGGGUCGCUAGAGUGCUGGAGAGGGUGGUGGAAUUCCACGUGUAGCGGUGAAAUGCGUAGAGAUGUGGAGGAACACCAGUGGCGAAGGCGACUCUCUGGUCUGUAACUGACGCUGAGGAGCGAAAGCGUGGGGAGCGAACA
Molecule: ribosomal RNA, 427 nt
Filed under: uncultured prokaryote
Description: bacterial SSU rRNA
Rfam family: Bacterial small subunit ribosomal RNA
Source: RNAcentral